AUUGAACGCUGGCGGCAGGCCUACCCAUGCAAGUCGAGCGGAUGAAGGGAGCUUGCUCCUGGAUUCAGCGGCGGACGGGUGAGUAAUGCCUAGGAAUCUGCCUGGUAGUGGGGGAUAACGUCCGGAAACGGGCGCUAAUACCGCAUACGUCCUGAGGGAGAAAGUGGGGGAUCUUCGGACCUCACGCUAUCAGAUGAGCCUAGGUCGGAUUAGCUAGUUGGUGGGGUAAAGGCCUACCAAGGCGACGAUCCGUAACUGGUCUGAGAGGAUGAUCAGUCACACUGGAACUGAGACACGGUCCAGACUCCUACGGGAGGCAGCAGUGGGGAAUAUUGGACAAAGGGCGAAAGCCUGAUCCAGCCAUGCCGCGUGUGUGAAGAAGGUCUUCGGAUUGUAAAGCACUUUAAGUUGGGAGGAAGGGCAGUAAGUUAAUACCUUGCUGUUUUGACGUUACCAACAGAAUAAGCACCGGCUAACUUCGUG
Molecule: ribosomal RNA, 483 nt
Filed under: uncultured bacterium
Lineage: Bacteria
Description: partial 16S ribosomal RNA
Rfam family: Bacterial small subunit ribosomal RNA
Source: RNAcentral